UGGGGAAUUUUGGACAAUGGGGGAAACCCUGAUCCAGCCAUCCCGCGUGUGCGAUGAAGGCCUUCGGGUUGUAAAGCACUUUUGGCAGGAAAGAAACGUCGCGGGUUAAUACCCCGCGAAACUGACGGUACCUGCAGAAUAAGCACCGGCUAACUACGUGCCAGCAGCCGCGGUAAUACGUAGGGUGCAAGCGUUAAUCGGAAUUACUGGGCGUAAAGCGUGCGCAGGCGGUUCGGAAAGAAAGAUGUGAAAUCCCAGAGCUUAACUUUGGAACUGCAUUUUUAACUACCGGGCUAGAGUGUGUCAGAGGGAGGUGGAAUUCCGCGUGUAGCAGUGAAAUGCGUAGAUAUGCGGAGGAACACCGAUGGCGAAGGCAGCCUCCUGGGAUAACACUGACGCUCAUGCACGAAAGCGUGGGGAGCAAACAGGAUUAGAUACCCUGGUAGUCCACGCCCUAAACGAUGUCAACUAGCUGUUGGGGCCUUCGGGCCUUGGUAGCGCAGCUAACGCGUGAAGUUGACCGCCUGGGGAGUACGGUCGCAAGAUUAAAACUUAAAUGAAUUGACGGGGUCAUA
This 575-nucleotide ribosomal RNA is filed under the name uncultured bacterium. RNAcentral's name for it is "partial 16S ribosomal RNA". It matches the Rfam family "Bacterial small subunit ribosomal RNA", at positions 355 to 923 of the family's 1533-position model. The record is from RNAcentral.